CUUUACUUAAUCUGAUUUGAUUCUUGUCUAAAAGUCAUGGGAUCACCCAAUGACCAGACCCCACCUGCACUGAUGCCAUUUUAACUUUUUUUUCACGUUCUUUCCUUUGUCUUUGUAAAGAGAUGACUCACAUACCUAUGCCUUAAAUUUAGUCCUAACCCUCAACUCGGGGCAGCAGCAGGAGCUCUGACUGCCCGUGGGUCCUGUCCCCACGCACCAGCUCUGCCUGCCCAUGGGCCCUGUCCCCCUGCCAGCGGGGGCAGCAGAAGCAGCGGCAGCAGAAACUCUGACUGCCCAUGGGUCCUGUCCCCAUGCUAUUCUACUCUCUAAAUAAAAGAGCACUACUGCCAGAUCUUAAGAGUCUAAGAAAUCUUUCUUUCGACUCCUCGGCUCACCGACCCCGCAUCAAGGAAGACGCCUUUUCACCUGCUAUGGGAGGGAGGAGCCCAGAAACCGGGGAGACAAACCCAAGAGUUUCUGCAGCUCAGGAGGCCUGCAGCCAGGGGGAGAUGAAUUCUUCCCCAGGAUAAAUUCUUUCCCAGGAGGUUUCUCAAUGCCUCAGGUAAAUAAUUAUCUGCUGGACCUGCCACACUGGCUCCCAGAAAUGCUCAAACCUGCCUCAGUUCUAGGAAGAACACAGACUAGGCUGCUAACUUCAGAUGUCAUCCUCUGUAGAUGUGUCAGGAACGGGUCUCAAAGUUUUACAGGAGGAGAAGACAAGCACAUCAUUACGGCAACCAUGUGACAAGCUCAGUGCAAGACACUUGAAAUGCGUUUUCUCUAAUCCAUUCAACCAUUUUUGGUAGGCAUAGUUUUCUACAUUUUACAGAUUGGGAAAGUUAGGGCUCCUUCAUUCAACAAGCAUUUAUGGAGUACUUACUAUGUGCAGCCACUGUUCUAGGCAUGUGAGAUACAUCAGUCACCAAUGUAGGCGAAGAUCCUUACCCUUGUGGAGGGUAUAUUCUAGAGGGGGGAAACUGAUAAUAAAUCAUUAGCAUAAUAAUACAAUAAAUUAUAUAUGUGAGAAGGCAAUUGGUUCCAUGGAACUUCAGAGAGGUUUCAAUUCAGCAAGUAUAUUUUGAGCAUCUCGUAAAUGCCAAGCAUUGGGAAUAAAAUUAAGAAUCAGAUAAACAUGCAUGCUUAUAUGGAGCUCGCAGUCCAGUGAGGCCACCGAGUAAGUGGCACAACCAGGAGUUAAUGCCAGGGGUCCAGUUCUGUGCUGGUGCUGACAUCCAUGGCAGGAACAUCUUAAUGAUAAAGUUUCUUUAAACACUGAGCACAAGAAUUUCCUCUGUAUGAAGACUUCCUCGGGCUCUCCUCUCACCCUCGAAGCGUGGUUCACUUCUCCACCUGCCACCCGUGUGUCCUCGACAUAGCCCUCAUGAAGCAUUUUGUUCCCCUGGGCUGCCUCUGUUGACUUACACACCUCUUCUCUGGGAGCUCCUGGAGACCAGGAAUUGUUUUGUACAUCUUUAUAUCCCUGUACCAAGGAUUUUGAUCAUCUGUGAAUAACAGGAAACCUGAUUAAACAGUGGCAUCGGCAAAUUCGAGGUUGAUUCUUUUUUAAUGCAACAAGAAGUCUGGAAGAGGUUGGUUGCUGUUUGUCGCUGCCUCAUUGCCUCAGGGAUGUCAUGGCUGAAGCCUGGCUGCCAGGACUCCAGUAUUCCCAACCCUGUGCAAGCAGGAGGAAGGGUCAGCACUUACAGCAGCAAAGCCAAGCCUUUUCAAACAUUCCUGGCAGUCUUCCACAUUCAUCUCGUUGGAUGGAACUGUGCCACAUGACCACUCCUAGUUACAAGGGAGGCUGGAAAGUGGGUUUUUUAAAAUUGGACACAUUGCUACCUGAACAAAAUCAGUGUUUGCUAGUAAAGAAGAAGGGGAAAGUGAAUAUUGGAAGGUAUCUAGACUGUCUGCCUCAAUCCCGAAUACAAAGCCUAGUGCCCAGCACCAUACUAUCGAGAAAGCACUCAACAACUAGUUAUUGAAUGAAUAAAUGGGUGAAUAAGUAAAUGACUUUUUGGUCCAUGUCACAUGGUCUGGGACUCUUCUUAGCCAACAAUUAAGAUAGAAUUGACGUCUUUGCUAAAAUAGUAUUCAGGAAAAUAUCAGUUGUCUAUCAGUUCUCAUUGUGAAUGUAUUUAUGCGUCUGGGUAUGUGUGUGGUGUAGAG
Long non-coding RNA from Equus caballus (horse), 2169 nucleotides. Lineage: Eukaryota; Metazoa; Chordata; Mammalia; Perissodactyla; Equidae. The record is from Ensembl.